UAAUCUCAUAAUUUGUAAGGAGUUGGAACGUUUGCCUAUGUUUGCCGCUAGGGGCACUAUUCCAGCUGCAUACAAAUUUGAGUUA
Bombyx mori (domestic silkworm) is the source of this 85-nucleotide non-coding RNA. The record is from Rfam. NCBI's taxonomy places the organism in Eukaryota, Metazoa, Arthropoda, Insecta, Lepidoptera, Bombycidae.